RNAcentral lists this ribosomal RNA (233 nucleotides) under uncultured bacterium. RNAcentral's name for it is "partial 16S ribosomal RNA". It matches the Rfam family "Bacterial small subunit ribosomal RNA", at positions 1269 to 1500 of the family's 1533-position model. The record is from RNAcentral.
AAAACUUCAAAAAUAGGUCUCAGUUCGGACUGUAGGCUGCAACUCGCCUACACGAAGUUGGAAUUGCUAGUAAUCGUGGAUCAGCAUGCCACGGUGAAUACGUUCCCGGGUCUUGUACACACCGCCCGUCACACCAUGGGAGCUGGUAACACCCGAGGUCAGUAGUCUAACCGCAAGGAGGACGCUGCCGAAGGUGGGAUUAGCGAACUGGGGUGAAGUCGUAACAAGGUAAC